CGAAAGCCUGACGGAGCAAUACCGCGUGAGGGAGGAAGGCUCUUGGGUCGUAAACCUCUUUUCUCAGGGAAGAACACAAUGACGGUACCUGAGGAAUAAGCAUCGGCUAACUCCGUGCCAGCAGCCGCGGUAAUACGGAGGAUGCAAGCGUUAUCCGGAAUGAUUGGGCGUAAAGCGUCCGCAGGUGGCUGUGUAAGUCUGCUGUUAAAGAGUCUAGCUCAACUAGAUAAAAGCAGUGGAAACUACACGGCUAGAGUACGUUCGGGGCAGAGGGAAUUCCUGGUGUAGCGGUGAAAUGCGUAGAGAUCAGGAAGAACACCAGUGGCGAAGGCGCUCUGCUAGGCCGUAACUGACACUGAGGGACGAAAGCUAGGGGAGCG
This 380-nucleotide ribosomal RNA is filed under the name uncultured cyanobacterium. RNAcentral describes it as "bacterial SSU rRNA". It matches the Rfam family "Bacterial small subunit ribosomal RNA", at positions 376 to 770 of the family's 1533-position model. Lineage: Bacteria; Bacillati; Cyanobacteriota. The record is from RNAcentral.